This 301-nucleotide ribosomal RNA is filed under the name uncultured bacterium. RNAcentral describes it as "partial 16S ribosomal RNA". It matches the Rfam family "Bacterial small subunit ribosomal RNA", at positions 509 to 809 of the family's 1533-position model. The record is from RNAcentral.
CAGUAGCCACGGUAAUACGGAGGGUGCAAGCGUUAAUCGGAAUUACUGGGCGUAAAGCGUGCGUAGGCGGUUCGUUAAGUCUGUUGUGAAAGCCCCGGGCUCAACCUGGGAAUGGCAAUGGAUACUGGCGAGCUAGAGUGUGUCAGAGGAUGGUGGAAUUCCCGGUGUAGCGGUGAAAUGCGUAGAGAUCGGGAGGAACAUCAGUGGCGAAGGCGGCCAUCUGGGACAACACUGACGCUGAGGCACGAAAGCGUGGGGAGCAAACAGGAUUAGAUACCCCCGUAGUCCCUGUCUCUUAUCA